GAUCGUUCUCAGGGCGGGGUGAAAUUCCCCACCGGCGGUGAUAGCCCGCGAGCGCCCUUGUUUCGGCAAGGGGUCAGCAGAUCCGGUGAAAUUCCGGGGCCGACGGUCAUAGUCCGGAUGAAAGAGAACCACG
RNAcentral lists this non-coding RNA (133 nucleotides) under Tropicibacter naphthalenivorans. RNAcentral's name for it is "FMN sequence". It matches the Rfam family "FMN riboswitch aptamer (RFN element)". Rfam says of the family: The RFN element is a highly conserved domain that is found frequently in the 5'-untranslated regions of prokaryotic mRNAs that encode for flavin mononucleotide (FMN) biosynthesis and transport proteins. This element is a metabolite-dependent riboswitch that directly binds FMN in the absence of proteins. Lineage: Bacteria; Pseudomonadati; Pseudomonadota; Alphaproteobacteria; Rhodobacterales; Roseobacteraceae. The record is from Rfam by way of RNAcentral.